AUUCCGGAGAGGGAGCCUGAGAAACGGCUACCACAUCCAAGGAAGGCAGCAGGCGCGCAAAUUACCCACUCCCGGCACGGGGAGGUAGUGACGAAAAAUAACGAUACGGAACUCAUACGAGGCUCCGUAAUCGGAAUGAGUACACUUUAAAUCCUUUAACGAGGUUCUAUUGGAGGGCAAGUCUGGUGCCAGCAGCCGCGGUAAUUCCAGCUCCAAUAGCGUAUAUUAAAGUUGUUGCGGUUAAAAAGCUCGUAGUUGGAUCUCGGUUUCACUCAGGUGGUACACCUUGCGGUGUUCACUAUCUGGGUGGACGUUUCUGUUGGUUCGCUCUUGGUGCUCUUCAUCGGGUGCCAUUUGGUGGCCAGCACGUUUACUUUGAAAAAAUUGGAGUGCUCAAAGCAGGCGUUACAGCCUGAACAUUAGUGCAUGGAAUAAUGGAAUAGGAUCUCGAUUCUAUUUCGUUGGCUUUCGGAGUCGAGGUAAUGAUUAAUAGGGACAGACGGGGGCAUUCGUACUGCGACGUUAGAGGUGAAAUUCUUGGAUCGUCGCAAGACGAACUACUGCGAAAGCAUUUGCCAAAUGUUUUCAUUAAUCAAGAACGAAAGUUAGAGGUUCGAAGGCGAUCAGAUACCGCCCUAGUUCUAACCAUAAACGAUGCCAACCGGCGAUCCGUCGUCGUUAAUUGAAUGACUCGACGGGCAGCCUCCGGGAAACCAGAGUGUUAGGGUUCCGGGGGAAGUAUGGUUGCAAAGCUGAAACUUAAAGGAAUUGACGGAAGGGCACCACCAGGAGUGGAGCCUGCGGCUUAAUUUGACCCAACACGGGAAAUCUCACCAGGCCCGGACACCGGAAGGAUUGACAGAUUGAGAGCUCUUUCUUGAUUCGGUGGGUGGUGGUGCAUGGCCGUUCUUAGUUGGUGGAGCGAUUUGUCUGGUUAAUUCCGAUAACGAACGAGACUCUGGCCUACUAACUAGAAGGUCUAUCCUUUAUGGGUAGGCCUCUGCUUCUUAGAGGGACGGGCGGCGUUUAGCCGCACGAGAAUGAGCAAUAACGGGUCUGUGAUGCCCUUAGAUGUUCUGGGCUGCACGCGCGCUACACUGAAGGAAUCAGCAUGUUCUCCCCUCCCUGAAAAGGGCGGGUAACCCGUUGAAACUCCUUCGUGAUGGGGAUUGGAGAUUGUAAUUAUUCUCCAUGAACGAGGAAUUCCCAGUAGGCGCGAGUCAUCAGCUUGCGUCGAUUACGUCCCUGCCCUUUGUACACACCGCCCGUCGCUACUACCGAUCGAGUGAUUUAGUGAGGACUUCGGACUGGUCUUCAAGUUGGCUUCGGUCGGCUCGAAGUUCCGGAAAGAUGCCCAAACUUGAUCACUUAGAGGAAGUAAAAGUCGUAACAAGGUUUCCGUAGGUGAACCUGCGGAAG
RNAcentral lists this ribosomal RNA (1419 nucleotides) under metagenome. RNAcentral's name for it is "SSU rRNA". It matches the Rfam family "Eukaryotic small subunit ribosomal RNA", at positions 380 to 1823 of the family's 1831-position model. The record is from RNAcentral.